AGCGGUUCGGCCGGGAACUCUAGGGAGACUGCCGGUGACAAACCGGAGGAAGGUGGGGAUGACGUCAAGUCAUCAUGGCCCUUACGGGUAGGGCUACACACGUGCUACAAUGGGCAGUACAAAGGGUUGCCAAACUGUGAGGUGGAGCUAAUCCCAGAAAACUGCUCGUAGUCCGGAUUGAAGUCUGCAACUCGACUUCAUGAAGUUGGAAUCGCUAGUAAUCGCGAAUCAGAAUGUCGCGGUGAAUACGUUCUCGGGCCUUGUACACACCGCCCGUCACACCAUGGGAGUGAAUUGUACCAGAAGCGGGUAGGCUAACCAUAAAUUUGGAGGCCGCUCACCACGGUAUGCUUC
RNAcentral lists this ribosomal RNA (354 nucleotides) under Coxiella endosymbiont of Amblyomma variegatum. RNAcentral describes it as "bacterial SSU rRNA". It matches the Rfam family "Bacterial small subunit ribosomal RNA", at positions 1120 to 1470 of the family's 1533-position model. Lineage: Bacteria; Pseudomonadati; Pseudomonadota; Gammaproteobacteria; Legionellales; Coxiellaceae. The record is from RNAcentral.